This 227-nucleotide ribosomal RNA is filed under the name uncultured bacterium. RNAcentral describes it as "partial 16S ribosomal RNA". It matches the Rfam family "Bacterial small subunit ribosomal RNA", at positions 524 to 750 of the family's 1533-position model. The record is from RNAcentral.
UACAGAGGAGCCAAGCGUUGUCCGGAUUGACUGGGCGUAAAGCGCACGCAGGCGGGUGCGCGCGUGGGGUGUGAAAUCUGGCCGCUUAACGGCCAGGCGCCAUCCCAUACGGCGCGCCUGGAGCCUUGCAGAGGUCGGUGGAAUUGCCGGUGUAGUGGUGAAAUGCGUAGAGAUCGGCAGGAACACCCAGGGGGAAACCAGCCGACUGGGCAAGUGCUGACGCUGAG